RNAcentral lists this long non-coding RNA (801 nucleotides) under Mytilus galloprovincialis (Mediterranean mussel). The record is from RNAcentral. Lineage: Eukaryota; Metazoa; Mollusca; Bivalvia; Mytilida; Mytilidae.
GUGUGUAUUUUUCACUGUAUUUUUACUCCUCUUAUUUUAAUACUUCUUUUCAGUCAUAAAAUUUAAACAAAUUAAUAGGAAUACUAAAUGCAUAGAUGAUUGACUGUCGCCAAAUAGAUACAUAAAUAAAUGAAUACAUAAAGAAAAUUGUAAAUAUAUUAAAAUUUUACUAUCAGAGGUCAAUCAGUUUAAUUGAAGUCUGGAGCUGGCAUGUCAGUUAACUGCUAGUAGCCUGUUGUUAUUUAUGUAUUAUUGUCAUUUUAUUUAUUUUCUUUUGUUACAUCUUCUGACAUCGGACUCGGACUUCUCUUGAACUGAAUUUUAAUUUGCGUAUUGUUAUGCGUUUACUUUUCUACAUUGGCUAGAGGUGUAGGGGGAGGGUUGAAAUCUCAUAAAUAUGUUUAACCCCGCCGCAAUUUUGCGCCUGUUCCAAGUCAGUUAGUCUUGUAUGACUUUUAAUUCUAGUUUCUUGUGUAUAAUUCGGUGUUUAGUAUGACGUCCAUUAUCACUGUAAUAGUAUACAUAUUUUUAAGAGGCCAGCUGAAGGAAGCUUACGGGUGCAGGAGUUUCUCGCUACAUUGAAGACCCAUUGUUGGCCUUCGGCUGUUGUCUGCUCUAUUGUUAGGUUGUUGUCGCUUUGACACAUUCCCCAUUUCCUUUCUCAAUUUAUAAUGUGUUAUUUACCAACAAACAAUUUGAGAAACCUUUAUAAAACUCUUCAAAUUUGUAAAAAGAUCAAUUAGAAUUAAGAAAGAAGGGUAUGUAAAUUAUGUAGACUUGAUAAAAAAAGUUACCAAAUUA